UCCGAUAUGGUGUAGUGGCUAACAUUAUCGCCUCUCAUGAAUAAACUUUUCUGUGCUUGAAGCGCGAUAGCCCGGGGUUCGAUUCCCCGUGUCGGAA
Molecule: non-coding RNA, 97 nt
Organism: Gymnopus androsaceus JB14
Lineage: Eukaryota; Fungi; Basidiomycota; Agaricomycetes; Agaricales; Omphalotaceae
Source: the annotation of a GenBank genome assembly